CACCUGCAUGUUUGUGUUAAGUUAAUAAAAAAAAUCCAAAUUGAAUUCUAUCUUAUUAUUUCAAAGCAUUAUUUCACUAUGAUAGAUUGCAAGUUCCAAAUUUUUGUAUAUCAUUGAACAUGUCAUUGGAAUUUUGUAGGAAAGGAUCUGUUGGUAUUUCACUUCCUGGAUUUAAGUAAUCAGAACACAGUCCCAUGAUGUCCUGUCAGUAAGAAGGUUGAAUGCUAUUUUGAACUUAAACAUUUAACUGGUGAUUUGGUAAAUUGGCUUUCAAUAAUUCCUUUUCAUUGGGGAAUUUUUUUUUUAUAAAAAAAAAGUAUAAUGAACCAGGAAUUCUAUAAGGAAACAAUAACACAAACUAAACUUAUGAAAUGUCUAUCCUAAUGAGGCUCAAAUUUUUCAAACAUGAACCAAAAGAAUCAUCUUCCAGAAAAUCAGUGUUUACAUAUAAAUUC
RNAcentral lists this long non-coding RNA (455 nucleotides) under Mytilus galloprovincialis (Mediterranean mussel). The record is from RNAcentral. Lineage: Eukaryota; Metazoa; Mollusca; Bivalvia; Mytilida; Mytilidae.